GGACUACAGGGGUUUCUAAUCCUGUUCGCUCCCCACGCUUUCGCUCCUCAGCGUCAAUAUCGGCCCAGAGACCCGCCUUCGCCACCGGUGUUCCUCCUGAUAUCUGCGCAUUUCACCGCUACACCAGGAAUUCCAGUCUCCCCUACCGAAUUCUAGUCUGCCCGUAUCGGCUGCAGGCCCGGGGUUGAGCCCCAGGUUUUCACAGCCGACGUGACAGACCGCCUACGAGCUCUUUACGCCCAAUAAUUCCGGACAACGCUUGCACCCUACGUAUUACCGCGGCGGCUGGCAC
Molecule: ribosomal RNA, 292 nt
Filed under: uncultured bacterium
Lineage: Bacteria
Description: partial 16S ribosomal RNA
Source: RNAcentral